This 468-nucleotide ribosomal RNA is filed under the name uncultured bacterium. RNAcentral's name for it is "partial 16S ribosomal RNA". It matches the Rfam family "Bacterial small subunit ribosomal RNA", at positions 28 to 507 of the family's 1533-position model. The record is from RNAcentral.
GACGAACGCUGGCGGCGUGCUUAACACAUGCAAGUCGAACGGAAAGGCCCUGCUUUUGUGGGGUGCUCGAGUGGCGAACGGGUGAGUAACACGUGAGUAACCUGCCCUUGACUUUGGGAUAACUUCAGGAAACUGGGGCUAAUACCGGAUAGGAGCUCCUGCUGCAUGGUGGGGGUUGGAAAGUUUCGGCGGUUGGGGAUGGACUCGCGGCUUAUCAGCUUGUUGGUGGGGUAGUGGCUUACCAAGGCUUUGACGGGUAGCCGGCCUGAGAGGGUGCCCGGCUACACUGGGACUGAGAUACGGCACAGACUCCUACGGGAGGCAGCAGUGGGGAAUAUUGCACAAUGGGCGGAAGCCUGAUGCAGCAACGCCGCGUGCGGGAUGACGGCCUUCGGGUUGUAAACCGCUUUCGCCUGUGACGAAGCGUGAGUGACGGUAAUGGGUAAAGAAGCACCGGCUAACUACGUG